GUGGGGAAUAUUGCGCAAUGGGGGAAACCCUGACGCAGCGACGCCGUGUGAGGGAUGAAGGCUUUCGAGUCGUAAAACUCUGUCUUUGGGGACGAAUAAUGACGGUACCCAAGGAGGAAGCCCCGGCUAACUACGUGCCAGCAGCCGCGGUAAUACGUAGGGGGCAAGCGUUGUCCGGAAUCACUGGGCGUAAAGGGCGCGUAGGCGGUUUGUUAAGUCAGGUGUGAAAGUUUUCAGCUUAACUGGAAAAGUGCACUUGAAACUAACUUACUUGAGUACUGGAGAGGUAAGCGGAAUUCCUAGUGUAGCGGUGAAAUGCGUAGAUAUUAGGAAGAACACCGGUGGCGAAGGCGGCUUACUGGACAGAGACUGACGCUGAGGCGCGAAAGCGUGGGGAGCGAACAGGAUUAGAAACCCCGGUAGUCC
This 426-nucleotide ribosomal RNA is filed under the name uncultured bacterium. Its description in RNAcentral is "partial 16S ribosomal RNA". It matches the Rfam family "Bacterial small subunit ribosomal RNA", at positions 354 to 796 of the family's 1533-position model. The record is from RNAcentral.